This 342-nucleotide ribosomal RNA is filed under the name Triticum aestivum (bread wheat). Its description in RNAcentral is "partial small subunit ribosomal RNA". Lineage: Eukaryota; Viridiplantae; Streptophyta; Magnoliopsida; Poales; Poaceae. The record is from RNAcentral.
AUGUUGGACUGGGCGACAAGAUUCCGUAUAAUCAAAGGGAUUGCAAGGGGACUUCUAUAUCUUCACGAAGACUCGAGGUUCACCAUAAUUCAUAGAGAUCUGAAAGCUGGAAAUGUUCUGCUCGAUGCAAAUUUGAAACCCAAGAUAGCUGAUUUUGGUAUGGCGAGGAUCUUUGGCGAUAAUGAGAAAAAUGCAAAUACCCAACGCAUUUUUGGAACAUAUGGCUACAUGGCUCCUGAGUAUGCAAUGGAAGGAGUCUUCUCUACCAAGUCCGACGUGUACAGUUUCGGCGUGUUACUACUGGAGGUUGUAACUGGUAUAAUUAAGGAGAAACUCCAUUAG